RNAcentral lists this long non-coding RNA (124 nucleotides) under Mus musculus (house mouse). Its description in RNAcentral is "RIKEN cDNA 4732465J04 gene". Lineage: Eukaryota; Metazoa; Chordata; Mammalia; Rodentia; Muridae. The record is from RNAcentral.
GGCAGUCUGAUCGGGCUGGCAGGAGGGAAAGGCAUGACUUACUGUAGCUCUUGGCCCAGGCCACCGAACACUCAGUACCUUGUACCCCGUUAGCCUUGGGCAGUAAACCCUCUGAUAAAAUGUU